CCACUCUAUCCUUAACCUAAUUCUAAUCUUCCUCGCUUUUGUGAAUAUUUGCUUUAAUCUUCUUCAUCUUCAUGUUGUUUUCUAUGGUUUCUGAUUUCAAGAUUUCAUCCA
This is a non-coding RNA of Arachis ipaensis, 111 nucleotides long. NCBI's taxonomy places the organism in Eukaryota, Viridiplantae, Streptophyta, Magnoliopsida, Fabales, Fabaceae. The record is from RefSeq and is a predicted model, not a curated record.